AGUCAGAAUACUGUAGAAGGGGAUCACAGCAAUUUGAUAGAAAAUCAGGAUUCAUAUAUCAAAAAAGACAAAAGCAGUUUGAUAAAAUCUGCAUGUUUAACAAAGAGUUAUGGAUUUAACACAGAUGAGGAUAGUGGGAAUGACCACAGCAGCUGUGAAGAACGUGUAGAAGUAGAGAAACCAAAGGUCGAAGAUGAACAGAUGGACAGCUUAAAUAAAGCAGAAUUAAGCUACGAUAUAAAAGAGUCCAACUCAGAGGAAGAACACGCCAAUAUGGACAGAUAUAUAGAAGAGAGCUGUACAGAAUAUCAGAAAGCUCCUGGAUUGGCAACACAGUCUAAAUAUACAAAGGGUGAAAAGGCUGUGGAAAAACUCAAGCAUCAAUUUGAAGAAAUAAUAUCCCAAUCUGUCACAGAGAGAGCUAUUCUUCUGGAUAAACAAAUUGCUGAUGCCCAGAAGAAAACAGAAAGAUCUUCCAUCAGACGUUCCAUACAAAGAAAUGCCCCUCUUGAUUCGGAUAUUGAGGAUUCGCCCUCUGAAUCGCCCACAUCUCAGUCGGCCCCCAGCACCCGAUCAGGUCUUCAAUCGUCACUAUCUUUCAGCUACGAUUCCAGUGCCGUUAUAACCACAGAGCCGGAAGGCAACAGGGUCAGAUCCAUCAGGGAAAUGUUCCUGGCAAAGAGUGCCACAGAUAUCCAGCACGGGCAUGGACGUUUCCCAAGCCCGAACAAAAUUGAGCUCUCCGAGUUAAGAGCAGAGACCUCAGCGAGUGCCGGGUAUCAGUCUCUGACUUCGAGUGAGCUGUCUAGCGGAGAAGAUGAUUCAGCACGGAAAACCAUCACUAAAGGCUUUGUGAGAAGAACAAUCGAAAGGCUUUAUGGCAAGAAAGAAGCUAAACUUGAUGAAGAGGUGAGCGAAAGGCCCCCAUCGGCGCCUAAACAGAAAAAGAAAGAACAUUCAAGCAUUUUCUCUCCCUUCCACAUUGCCCGGUCCAAAGCAAUGUCCGAGUUGUCUUAUUUCAAUUCCCCUGCACUGGACACCUUAAGUGAAGCAACACGGUGCGUUGCUUUCAAUGUACAAGUCAGGCCAGAACACAGUCUCCCUAUUGAUAAUGAACAAUGGCUCCUUGGAGAAAACACGCUGAUCAGAAAGUCUGUUUCAGACCCGGUUGGGAUAAACAAAAACUUCACAAACUCUGCUCAAGGCGAAGGAAUGUGUGAGGAUACAGAGAACACCUCACAUUCCCUCCUCAACACAAAGUCUGAACUGGAGGACAACAAGCCGCCAUUUUCAAGGAAGUGUACCUACUUUUCUUUGCCCCAUGCUAAUGACUCAGACGCAUGUCAAGAUGACCUGAGCGUAGUUAGCAAGAGCAGUGCGAAUGCGGACAGUCUCAUGGAUACAAAGGACAGUUCAGAAGACA
RNAcentral lists this long non-coding RNA (1423 nucleotides) under Cottoperca gobio. RNAcentral describes it as "lncRNA (ENSCGOG00000017952.1)". Lineage: Eukaryota; Metazoa; Chordata; Actinopteri; Perciformes; Bovichtidae. The record is from RNAcentral.